Molecule: ribosomal RNA, 506 nt
Filed under: Naganishia albida
Lineage: Eukaryota; Fungi; Basidiomycota; Tremellomycetes; Filobasidiales; Filobasidiaceae
Description: partial large subunit ribosomal RNA
Rfam family: Eukaryotic large subunit ribosomal RNA
Source: RNAcentral
AGGAAAAGAAACUAACAAGGAUUCCCCUAGUAACGGCGAGUGAAGCGGGAAGAGCUCAAAUUUGAAAUCUGGUAGCCUUCGGUUGCCCGAGUUGUAAUCUAGAGAAGUGUUUUCCGUGCCGGCCCAUGUACAAGUCCCUUGGAACAGGGCGUCAUAGAGGGUGAGAAUCCCGUCCUUGACAUGGACCCCCGGUGCUUUGUGAUACACUUUCAACGAGUCGAGUUGUUUGGGAAUGCAGCUCAAAAUGGGUGGUGAAUUCCAUCUAAAGCUAAAUAUUGGCGAGAGACCGAUAGCGAACAAGUACCGUGAGGGAAAGAUGAAAAGCACUUUGGAAAGAGAGUUAAACAGUACGUGAAAUUGUUGAAAGGGAAACGAUUGAAGUCAGUCAUGCUCUUGGGACUUACCUCCCUUGAGUGGGGUCAACAUCAGUUUUGAUCGAUGGAUAAAGGCACGGGGAAGGUAGCACUCUCGGGUGAACUUAUAGCCUCGCGUCAUAUACAUUGAUU